RNAcentral lists this ribosomal RNA (354 nucleotides) under uncultured bacterium. RNAcentral's name for it is "bacterial SSU rRNA". It matches the Rfam family "Bacterial small subunit ribosomal RNA", at positions 527 to 881 of the family's 1533-position model. The record is from RNAcentral.
GUAGGGUGCAAGCGUUAAUCGGAAUUACUGGGCGUAAAGCGUGCGCAGGCGGUUUUGUAAGUCUGUCGUGAAAGCCCCGGGCUCAACCUGGGAAUUGCGAUGGAGACUGCAAGGCUUGAAUCUGGCAGAGGGGGGUAGAAUUCCACGUGUANCANUGAAAUGCGUAGAGAUGUGGAGGAACACCGAUGGCGAAGGCAGCCCCCUGGGUCAAGAUUGACGCUCAUGCACGAAAGCGUGGGGAGCAAACAGGAUUAGAUACCCUGGUAGUCCACACCCUAAACGAUGUCUACUAGUUGUCGGGUUUUAAUUAACUUGGUAACGCAGCUAACGCGUGAAGUAGACCGCCUGGGGAGU